Molecule: unclassified non-coding RNA, 378 nt
Filed under: plant metagenome
Description: partial contains 5.8S ribosomal RNA, internal transcribed spacer 2, and large subunit ribosomal RNA
Rfam family: 5.8S ribosomal RNA (bases 1-105)
Source: RNAcentral
GAAAUGCGAUAAGUAAUGUGAAUUGCAGAAUUCAGUGAAUCAUCGAAUCUUCGAACGUACCUUGCGCUCCUUGGUAUUCCUUGGAGCAUGCCUGUUUGAGUAUCAUGAAAUCUUCAAAGUAAAUCUUUUGUUAACUCAAUUGGUUUCUACUUUGGUAUUGGAGGUCUUUGCAGCUUCACACCUGCUCCUCUUUGUUCAUUAGCUGGAUCUCAGUGUUAUGCUUGGUUCCACUCGGCGUGAUAAGUUAUCUAUCGCUGAGGACACUGUAAAAGGUGGCCAAGGUAAAUGCAGAUGAACCGCUUCUAAUAGUCCAUUGACUUGGACAAUACUUUUAUGAUCUGAUCUCAAAUCAGGUAGGACUACCCGCUGAACUUAAGC